Molecule: ribosomal RNA, 2928 nt
Filed under: Bacillus cereus
Lineage: Bacteria; Bacillati; Bacillota; Bacilli; Caryophanales; Bacillaceae
Description: bacterial LSU rRNA
Rfam family: Bacterial large subunit ribosomal RNA
Source: RNAcentral
UUUGGUUAAGUUAGAAAGGGCGCACGGUGGAUGCCUUGACACUAGGAGUCGAUGAAGGACGGGACUAACGCCGAUAUGCUUCGGGGAGCUGUAAGUAAGCUUUGAUCCGAAGAUUUCCGAAUGGGGAAACCCACCAUACGUAAUGGUAUGGUAUCCUUAUCUGAAUACAUAGGGUAAGGAAGACAGACCCAGGGAACUGAAACAUCUAAGUACCUGGAGGAAGAGAAAGCAAAUGCGAUUUCCUGAGUAGCGGCGAGCGAAACGGAACAUAGCCCAAACCAAGAGGCUUGCCUCUUGGGGUUGUAGGACAUUCUAUACGGAGUUACAAAGGAACGAGGUAGACGAAGCGACCUGGAAAGGUCCGUCGUAGAGGGUAACAACCCCGUAGUCGAAACUUCGUUCUCUCUUGAAUGUAUCCUGAGUACGGCGGAACACGUGAAAUUCCGUCGGAAUCUGGGAGGACCAUCUCCCAAGGCUAAAUACUCCCUAGUGAUCGAUAGUGAACCAGUACCGUGAGGGAAAGGUGAAAAGCACCCCGGAAGGGGAGUGAAAGAGAUCCUGAAACCGUGUGCCUACAAAUAGUCAGAGCCCGUUAACGGGUGAUGGCGUGCCUUUUGUAGAAUGAACCGGCGAGUUACGAUCCCGUGCGAGGUUAAGCUGAAGAGGCGGAGCCGCAGCGAAAGCGAGUCUGAAUAGGGCGUUUAGUACGUGGUCGUAGACCCGAAACCAGGUGAUCUACCCAUGUCCAGGGUGAAGUUCAGGUAACACUGAAUGGAGGCCCGAACCCACGCACGUUGAAAAGUGCGGGGAUGAGGUGUGGGUAGCGGAGAAAUUCCAAUCGAACCUGGAGAUAGCUGGUUCUCCCCGAAAUAGCUUUAGGGCUAGCCUUAAGUGUAAGAGUCUUGGAGGUAGAGCACUGAUUGGACUAGGGGUCCUCAUCGGAUUACCGAAUUCAGUCAAACUCCGAAUGCCAAUGACUUAUCCUUAGGAGUCAGACUGCGAGUGAUAAGAUCCGUAGUCAAAAGGGAAACAGCCCAGACCGCCAGCUAAGGUCCCAAAGUGUGUAUUAAGUGGAAAAGGAUGUGGAGUUGCUUAGACAACUAGGAUGUUGGCUUAGAAGCAGCCACCAUUUAAAGAGUGCGUAAUAGCUCACUAGUCGAGUGACUCUGCGCCGAAAAUGUACCGGGGCUAAAUACACCACCGAAGCUGCGGAUUGAUACCAAUGGUAUCAGUGGUAGGGGAGCGUUCUAAGGACAGUGAAGUCAGACCGUAAGGACUGGUGGAGUGCUUAGAAGUGAGAAUGCCGGUAUGAGUAGCGAAAGACGGGUGAGAAUCCCGUCCACCGAAUGCCUAAGGUUUCCUGAGGAAGGCUCGUCCGCUCAGGGUUAGUCAGGACCUAAGCCGAGGCCGACAGGCGUAGGCGAUGGACAACAGGUUGAUAUUCCUGUACCACCUCUUUAUCGUUUGAGCAAUGGAGGGACGCAGAAGGAUAGAAGAAGCGUGCGAUUGGUUGUGCACGUCCAAGCAGUUAGGCUGAUAAGUAGGCAAAUCCGCUUAUCAUAAAGGCUGAGCUGUGAUGGGGAAGCUCCUUAUGGAGCGAAGUCUUUGAUUCCCCGCUGCCAAGAAAAGCUUCUAGCGAGAUAAAAGGUGCCUGUACCGCAAACCGACACAGGUAGGCGAGGAGAGAAUCCUAAGGUGUGCGAGAGAACUCUGGUUAAGGAACUCGGCAAAAUGACCCCGUAACUUCGGGAGAAGGGGUGCUUUCUUAACGGAAAGCCGCAGUGAAUAGGCCCAAGCGACUGUUUAGCAAAAACACAGCUCUCUGCGAAGCCGUAAGGCGAAGUAUAGGGGGUGACACCUGCCCGGUGCUGGAAGGUUAAGGAGAGGGGUUAGCGUAAGCGAAGCUCUGAACUGAAGCCCCAGUAAACGGCGGCCGUAACUAUAACGGUCCUAAGGUAGCGAAAUUCCUUGUCGGGUAAGUUCCGACCCGCACGAAAGGUGUAACGAUUUGGGCACUGUCUCAACCAGAGACUCGGUGAAAUUAUAGUACCUGUGAAGAUGCAGGUUACCCGCGACAGGACGGAAAGACCCCGUGGAGCUUUACUGUAGCCUGAUAUUGAAUUUUGGUACAGUUUGUACAGGAUAGGCGGGAGCCAUUGAAACCGGAGCGCUAGCUUCGGUGGAGGCGCUGGUGGGAUACCGCCCUGACUGUAUUGAAAUUCUAACCUACGGGUCUUAUCGACCCGGGAGACAGUGUCAGGUGGGCAGUUUGACUGGGGCGGUCGCCUCCUAAAGUGUAACGGAGGCGCCCAAAGGUUCCCUCAGAAUGGUUGGAAAUCAUUCGUAGAGUGCAAAGGCAUAAGGGAGCUUGACUGCGAGACCUACAAGUCGAGCAGGGACGAAAGUCGGGCUUAGUGAUCCGGUGGUUCCGCAUGGAAGGGCCAUCGCUCAACGGAUAAAAGCUACCCCGGGGAUAACAGGCUUAUCUCCCCCAAGAGUCCACAUCGACGGGGAGGUUUGGCACCUCGAUGUCGGCUCAUCGCAUCCUGGGGCUGUAGUCGGUCCCAAGGGUUGGGCUGUUCGCCCAUUAAAGCGGUACGCGAGCUGGGUUCAGAACGUCGUGAGACAGUUCGGUCCCUAUCCGUCGUGGGCGUAGGAAAUUUGAGAGGAGCUGUCCUUAGUACGAGAGGACCGGGAUGGACGCACCGCUGGUGUACCAGUUGUUCUGCCAAGGGCAUAGCUGGGUAGCUAUGUGCGGAAGGGAUAAGUGCUGAAAGCAUCUAAGCAUGAAGCCCCCCUCAAGAUGAGAUUUCCCAUAGCGUAAGCUAGUAAGAUCCCUGAAAGAUGAUCAGGUUGAUAGGUUCGAGGUGGAAGCAUGGUGACAUGUGGAGCUGACGAAUACUAAUAGAUCGAGGACUUAACCAUAUA